UAGUCCACACAGUAAACGGUGAUCACUAGGUGUUGCGGGUAUUGACCCCUGCAGUGCCGCAGCUAACGCAUUAAGUGAUCCGCCUGGGGAGUACGGUCGCAAGAUUAAAACUCAAAGGAAUUGACGGGGGCCCGCACAAGCGGUGGAGCAUGUGGUUUAAUUCGACGCAACGCGAAGAACCUUACCUGGACUUGACAUCUGGAGAAUCUGUUAGAGAUAGUAGAGUGCCUUCGGGAGCUCUGAGACAGGUGCUGCAUGGCUGUCGUCAGCUCGUGUUGUGAAAUGUUGGGUUAAGUCCCGCAACGAGCGCAACCCUUAUCCUUAGUUGCCAGCACGUAAUGGUGGGAACUCUAGGGAGACUGACCGGUGAUAAACCGGAGGAAGGUGGGGACGACGGUCAAGUCAUCAUGGCCCUUAUGGGCAGGGGCUACACACGUGCUACAAUGGCGAAUACAGAGGGUUGCCAACCAGCAAUGGUGCGCUAAUCCCUUAAAGCUCG
Molecule: ribosomal RNA, 499 nt
Filed under: uncultured bacterium
Lineage: Bacteria
Description: bacterial SSU rRNA
Rfam family: Bacterial small subunit ribosomal RNA
Source: RNAcentral